GAUGAAGAACGUAGCGAAAUGCGAUAAGUAAUGUGAAUUGCAGAAUUCAGUGAAUCAUCGAAUCUUUGAACGCACAUUGCGCCCGCUGGUAUUCCGGCGGGCAUGCCUGUUCGAGCGUCAUUUCAACCCUCAAGCCCCCGGGUUUGGUGUUGGGGAUCGGCUCUGCCUUCUGGCGGUGCCGCCCCCGAAAUACAUUGGCGGUCUCGCUGCAGCCUCCAUUGCGUAGUAGCUAACACCUCGCAACUGGAACGCGGCGCGGCCAUGCCGUAAAACCCCAACUUCUGAAUGUUGACCUCGGAUCAAGUAGGAAUACCCGCUGAACUUAAGCAUAUCAAUAAGCGGAGGA
Molecule: unclassified non-coding RNA, 346 nt
Filed under: soil metagenome
Description: partial contains 5.8S ribosomal RNA, internal transcribed spacer 2, and large subunit ribosomal RNA
Rfam family: 5.8S ribosomal RNA (bases 1-120)
Source: RNAcentral